This is a long non-coding RNA of Apis florea (little honeybee), 570 nucleotides long. The record is from RefSeq and is a predicted model, not a curated record. NCBI's taxonomy places the organism in Eukaryota, Metazoa, Arthropoda, Insecta, Hymenoptera, Apidae.
CUCUUCUUUUUGUGCUCGUUAUUCGAUACGUUUGACGAAGAAUAGAAAGUAAGCGCUUGAAAUCUAUUUUCCUAUGGUUUCACCGACACGAGGGAUUAUUAUUGCAGAAAUUGUGACUUCCCUAACGGUGGCCCUCCCGGGUACCAACCAGCUGCCGCAGCUCCUCCACCGCUAAGCACGGAAUACGAGCGGCCACCUCCCUAUUAUUAUUAUCCUGGGCCAGGGGACACAAAUUAGGAAACAAGUGCCGUGGCAUGCACAAAGGUAGCGCUGAAUAGCGUGGCUACCCACAGUCUCACCCGCAGUUACAAAAGGACGCUCAAAAAGAAAGAGAAAUCCGGAUGUAAACGAGACUAUGUUUAAUUGUAGCGUUCCUGUUUGAGCGUGCCACGGACCGUGCGAACGGCAAAAUCAAUUAAAGACCAAGUUUACGAUAAAAUACAGACUGAGGUAGGCUAAAUGGAUCCUUCGGCGAGCCGCAAGUAAUGUGAUCAACGUGUACGAUUCGUUUCGAUUUAGUAUUAUUUUUAGACAUCGUGCGUAUAUCACGAGAGAAAUGUUACAUUGUUC